GCAGGCAGGGUGCGCUCACAUUGGCAGCAGUGGCAUGGUGGGAUGCAUGCACACUGGUGGGGAAGCAGAGGUGAGGUCUGCCUGCACACACACAUGUGAGUAAAAUGAUGUAGGUGUUGCUAUGGAUGAGUGCAUGCUGGAAAAGUGGCAUGAGGGAGGACGCAGUGGGGGAAGGGCAUAGGCAGGCUCAUGCUGGUUGGUGUGGUCUGCUGUGAUGGUCAGGCAUGGUCUGCCAGCACAGGAGCUAUUAUGUGGGCCUCUGGGAGGCACCCCGGUGGGCA
RNAcentral lists this long non-coding RNA (281 nucleotides) under Homo sapiens (human). Its description in RNAcentral is "HSALNT0182803". The record is from RNAcentral. Lineage: Eukaryota; Metazoa; Chordata; Mammalia; Primates; Hominidae.